This 72-nucleotide transfer RNA is filed under the name Camelus bactrianus (Bactrian camel). It matches the Rfam family "tRNA". From Rfam's summary of the family: Transfer RNA (tRNA) molecules are approximately 80 nucleotides in length. Their secondary structure includes four short double-helical elements and three loops (D, anti-codon, and T loops). Further hydrogen bonds mediate the characteristic L-shaped molecular structure. tRNAs have two regions of fundamental functional importance: the anti-codon, which is responsible for specific mRNA codon recognition, and the 3' end, to which the tRNAs corresponding amino acid is attached (by aminoacyl-tRNA synthetases). tRNAs cope with the degeneracy of the genetic code in two manners: having more than one tRNA (with a specific anti-codon) for a particular amino acid; and 'wobble' base-pairing, i.e. permitting non-standard base-pairing at the 3rd anti-codon position. RNAcentral also lists the same sequence under 2 other names. The record is from Rfam by way of RNAcentral. Lineage: Eukaryota; Metazoa; Chordata; Mammalia; Artiodactyla; Camelidae.
GAGGAUAUAGUUUAGCAGUAGAGCACGUGCUUAGGAAGCACAAGGUCCUGGGUUCAAUCCCCAGUAUCUCCA